GCUUGUCUCAAAGAUUAAGCCAUGCAUGUCUAAGUAUAAAUAAUUCUAUACUGUGAAACUGCGAAUGGCUCAUUAUAUCAGUUAUAGUUUAUUUGAUAGUCCCUUACUACUUGGAUAACCGUAGUAACUCUAGAGCUAAUACAUGCGCAAAUUCCCGACUGCUGGAAGGGGUGUAUUUAUUAGAUAAAAAUCAACUUUGUUGGUGAAUCAUAAUAACUUCUCGGACCGCAUGGCCUCGUGCUGGCGGUGCUUCAUUCAAAUAUCUGCCCUAUCAACUGUCGAUGGUAGGAUAGAGGCCUACCAUGGUUGCAACGGGUAACGGGGAAUAAGGGUUCGAUUCCGGAGAGGGAGCCUGAGAAACGGCUACCACAUCCAAGGAAGGCAGCAGG
RNAcentral lists this ribosomal RNA (389 nucleotides) under Malassezia restricta. RNAcentral describes it as "partial small subunit ribosomal RNA". It matches the Rfam family "Eukaryotic small subunit ribosomal RNA", at positions 30 to 432 of the family's 1831-position model. Lineage: Eukaryota; Fungi; Basidiomycota; Malasseziomycetes; Malasseziales; Malasseziaceae. The record is from RNAcentral.